UAGACUAUCCACGUAAGCAAAUUUAAUCGACCUAUCAUAUGCUUUUAUAUUGCGACAUUAGCUCGACCUGUCAUAUUUCUUCGUUGUGAGCCGGUGAUUUGAAACCAAUCGUCUCUUCACCUUUCUUUUUGUCUCAAUGCAUCCUUUAAUUAUAGUCUAUUUGUCUCCCUCUCCGCUUCAAAUCCCUAAAUCCCCAAGCAUCACCCUAUCUAUCGUAUUCCCGGCUCCACAUUCUGGAAAUCAAACCCCACCGCAUCCAUGGCUAACAACAAAGCAAAAUCAAUUGUUUUUCAGAAAAAGAAUCUAUACAUACAAAAAUGACAAGUUGAAGUUUUUAGUAGACAGAUGCUGCGUUUUGGGAACUAUAGCAAGGAUUCUCAACAAUGGCGACCAUUCCUUCUCACGAAGAACUAUCACUCUUCUCCGUCGUUCAAAACCACCAGCUCCUCUGAACCUUCGUUCAUUCAUCUCCCGGAGAAAAGAUCCCGAGUAGCUACGAAAGCUUCUCUCACUAGAACCAACGAGGCUUCUUUAUCUGCCGUCAUCUCCAGGCUCGAGCGUGAACGGAAAGGAUUAACCGGCGGCGGCGGAGAACAGUGGCAUACGGCAGAGGAUUUCCGUCGGCGCGAUAAAAUAACCGAGGAAGAGAGGAGGCUUAGAGACACAUGGCGUAAGAUCCAAGGAGAAGACGAUUGGGCCGGGUUAAUGGACCCAAUGGACCCGGUUCUCAGAUCGGAGCUGAUCCGUUACGGCGAAAUGGCUCAGGCCUGUUACGACGCCUUCGACUUUGAUCCUUCCUCGACGGCAACCCACGUCGAGUGUAAUCUUCACUUUGGUCACACAUUGGGUCUGUUGAUUUUUGAAAGUAUUUGACCUUACAUUAGUUCUGUGUUUUGAUUUAGGUUGGCCUCUAAAUGUAUAAUGUCUCCAUUUAGAUCCGACGUGAGUUGUUGGUUCGAUGAGGCUCUAAGAACUCAAGCAGUGCUAUUGGAGGCAGGCUUUCUGAAUAUCUUUGGUCAGUGUCAAGUUUCUUGAUCUCUUAUGGAUGCAAUUUUGAUACUUUUUUUGCUAUGUAAAGAGAAAUGAGUUCUUAUAAGCAUUGUUCUAUUGGAUCAACACUCACACCUGAUCCUAAAUGAUAUUUUUUGGAAACAUCAAAUUUUUACUGCACGUCCAAGGUAUAAUACAAUCUCGCAAGAUCCAUAUAUGCAUGUUGGUUAACGUCAAGAUUUCUAACUCCAAAUUUGUGGAGAAUGUUUUUUUCGAACAUUGGUAGACUAAUAUUUUUUAUAUGGAAUGGAAAAAGCGAGUGAAAUUAUUGCUUUAUAUUAUUGCCAUUAGUUCAAUGCAGCUAUAUGGAGAGGAGCAGGUGACUGCAAUUGCAAGCAAGAAGCUCACCUGAGAAGGCUGUUAGUUCAUCACAAUGUCAGUAGAAAGUAGAAGCUGACCAGAAGAAAGAAGGUGAUGAUGAAAUCUACCUGCGAUCAAUAGCCACAUGAGACCAACAUCCUGGACACUCUGCACUCUCUCGCUUCAAAGCUAACAACAAAUCUCUAAGAUGCAAGAAGUACAUCAGAUAUGAAUCAUGCAAGCAGGACAAGAGUCAGGGGAAGUAUCACUAAGGCAGAUCCAUGAUGAUGAUAGAUUUUGAUAAAAGGUUAGUGGAUUUACUUAGUUAUGUAACAGCAGAUUUUGGUUGUAGUAGUUUUGUAACUUUCACAUUUACUCUCUUCAUAUUUAAAUGCCUCUUUCGCUGCAUUCAUCGUCCCUUUAAGUUAGCCUUCAGGCACUUAAAUCGCACAGACACAGCUAGGCUUUGCGGUCUCAGUAGCGAUUGCGGUUUGAAUUUUGUGCUCUCCGCAGGCCAGUCUCCCUUCAUUACUUCUCUUUGAUAAAUUCCAUUACAUAUACGUAGAAAGCCGCAUUGGUUCUUAGUGUCUCAUGGAUCCCAUUACACCUUGCACUUGAAAAGGAACAAAACAAAUUCAAGAAAUAAGGAAGAAGAGCAGAAGUUGUGUCAUGCAGUUUUGGCUGCUAAUCAUUUCAUGUGUAUGGGUGCGAGCAAGGUAAUUCUUGCUAAUUGUAUGCUUUUGUGCUUUGCAUCAUCCUGGUUAUGCAUGUGGAAUUGGAAAUCUUUUUAUUCCUUAGUUGGUGCCUUCACCAUUCAGGAGUUGAAAAAAAACCAAAAUCUUCUACAACUUCAACUGGUGAUCUUGGAAUUGGGCUUGAACAGCUUCAUCUAAUGUCAAAAGUUAAGAAGAUUGCUUCUCUGCAGCUAUAUGGAGAGGAGCAAGCGAGUGUAAUUUCAAGCAAACAACUUCACCAUAGAACGCGGUUCAUCACAAUGCCAGUGCGAAUAAGAAGUCAGAUCAGAAGAUUAUGUCCUUUUCGGGUCUCAGCUCUGUCUCUUCUUCCAUAAGAAUAUCAAAAGAAAACGACGGCCAUUGCACAAGUCGUUUAUCUCCAUCGUUUGGACUUGACAUAGCGCUUCAGAGAAAGGGAAUAGAGUUUUCAUAUAUCAUUAUUGUUUUUUUUUAUGUUGCGUUAGUUCUCAGUUAGGUCAAUUUCUCAAAUGAAAAAUAAGUUUUUGAAAUUAAGAUACAUAUAAAUAUACGUUUUAAACUUUGUCAAAAUAUCAUAACAAAUACAUUUCUCUUUCCGUAAUUGUUAAACGGCAAUGUUGUUCAUGUUUCGUUUGCGGCUUCGUAUUUCCUUUCUUUUUCUAUUGUCUAAAUUUAUUCUUCCAAAAAAUCUUGGUUCGUACAAUACUUUCUCUGUAUGUAUUUAGCAAAUUUUUAAUCCAUUCAUAAGUCUACCACCAAAAAGUAGAAAUUAUUUACUCUAUUAUCAUCAAGAUUAUAAUUAAAACAAAACAAAAAAACAUACAGACAAUAUACAAAAAUUAAAAUACAGAUAAAAUAUUUAAUCUAUUUUCUAAUUCAAGAAGAUAUGUUACUUAAAUUUGCCGGUCUAAAAACCAGAUAGAUAUAAAUAACCAAUUCAAUAAUUUAAGAAUUGAAAUCUCUUUUUUAAUUUCUUGAACAUAUACAUAAUUUAUCUAUUUUAAAAAUAUUGAACAUUAUUAUAUAAUAUUAUAUUUUACAUGUUUUUUUAUUCGGUGUAUGUUUUAAAUUAUUAUCUUUUAUUAAACUCAAUAUUACACCAUGAAACGAAUAAAAAUAGUCUCAGAAUAUUAUUCAACAAUCAUCUCCAAAUAAAACUCCUAAACCUAUAAUAAUACUUUGAAGUGCAUUAUCAAACAAUUGUUAUUCCGAUGCAUUUACUUAUGAUGAAUUUUUGAUCAUUUUAAACUAUGUUGAAAGUCAUAUAUACAAAUAGUAUUAUUAAAUUUACAAAAUAUAACAGAAAAUAACCUAAAAUAUCUUAUUUUGUAUUGAUAAGUACUAUUAUUUUUCCGCUUUACAUAAUAAAACAUAUUUUACAAAAAACAAGACUCUGUCUAACAAUAAAGAAAAAUUGAAAUUAAAUUCCCCAUUUUAUAUCAAUAAACCAAGCACAAAACAAUGAAAAUAUUAAGUUUUUUUUAUAACGUUGAUUGAAAAUAUUAAGUUAAGCUGGUCAAAUAAAAAAAUCUCCCCAGUUUGAUGCAAUAAUUUACAUAUGAAAAAAUAUGAUUAAAUUUAAAAUAUAAAUUACCAUGAAAGUAUGUGAAAAUUAUUACUCGCUUCAAUAUUUUAAACAAAAAUUUACUAUAACACCACUAUUGAUGUUGUUUGCAGCUUCAGAAUAGGUCCAAAAUAAUACAAAUCAAAUCAUUUUGAGGCAUUAUUAAAUCACACAAGAGUAUAAAAGAUCGAAACUAAAUAAAAAAGCAAUAAAAAAUCCAAAGUAUCUUAAUAUGCUUUAAUGUUGAAGACAUUUUCCGGUUUAUUAAUUCUACCAGUUUGAUGCAAUAAUUUACAUAUGAAAAAUAUGAUUAAAUUUAAAAUAUAAAUUACCAUGAAAGUAUGUGAAAAUUAUUACUCACUUCAAUAUUUGAAACAAAAAUUUACUAUAACACCACUAUUGAUGUUGUUUGCAGCUUCAGAAUAGGUCCAAAAUAAUACAAAUCAAAUCAUUUUGAGGCAUUAUUAAAAUCACACAAGAGUAUAAAAGAUCAAAACCAAAUCAAAAAGCAAUAAAAAACUCCAAAGUAUCUUAAUAUGCUUUAAUGUUGAAGACAUUUUCUGGUUAUUAAUUCUAAAUUAUGCUAAAAUAUUAAAAAAUAAACAUCAAUAAAAUUAUUGAAGAAAAUUUAGAAAUUGGCCAACCAAAAACACUUACGCAAAUAAUAACUUAUUAAGUUAAUAUUGAGAAAAUGAGACA
Molecule: long non-coding RNA, 4326 nt
Organism: Brassica rapa (field mustard)
Lineage: Eukaryota; Viridiplantae; Streptophyta; Magnoliopsida; Brassicales; Brassicaceae
Source: RefSeq, a predicted model, not a curated record